GGCAGAAUCGGAUAGCCUGGUCCAUUCCGUCCCGCUCAAGACGGGAACCCUUCGGGGGCGUGCGUUCAAAUCGCACUUCUGCUA
Molecule: transfer RNA, 84 nt
Filed under: Paramecium bursaria Chlorella virus AR158
Lineage: Varidnaviria; Bamfordvirae; Nucleocytoviricota; Megaviricetes; Algavirales; Phycodnaviridae
Description: tRNA-Leu
Source: RNAcentral